ACGGGGUGCAGCAGGCGCGAAAACUCCGCAAUGCACGAAAGUGUGACGGGGCCACCCCGAGUGCUCUCCGCUGAGGAAAGCUUUUCCUUGGUAUAACUAGCCAGGGGAAUAAGGAGAGGGCAAGUCUGGUGUCAGCCGCCGCGGUAAUACCAGCUCUCCGAGUGGUGUGGAUGUUUAUUUGGCCUAAAGCGUCCGUAGCCGGCCGGGUAAGUUUCCCGUUAAAUCCAACGUCUCAAGCGUUGGACCGCGGGAAAUACUGCCUGGCUAGAGAGUGGGAGAGGUAAGCGGUAUUCUGGGGGUAGGGGCGAAAUCCUUUGAUCCCCGGAGGACCACCAGUGGCGAAGGCUGCUUACUAGAACACGUCUGACGGUCAGGGACGAAAGCUGGGGUAGCGAACCGGAUUAGAUACCCGGGUAGUCCCAGCUGUAAACGAUGCAUGCUAGGUGUUGGGUUGGCCACGAGCCACCCCAGUGCCGCAGGGAAGCCGUUAAGCAUGCCGCCUGGGAAGUACGAUCGCAAGAUUGGAACUUAAAGGAAUUGGCGGGGGAGCAC
Molecule: ribosomal RNA, 552 nt
Filed under: uncultured archaeon
Lineage: Archaea
Description: bacterial SSU rRNA
Rfam family: Archaeal small subunit ribosomal RNA
Source: RNAcentral